Molecule: transfer RNA, 71 nt
Filed under: Phrynosoma platyrhinos (Desert horned lizard)
Lineage: Eukaryota; Metazoa; Chordata; Lepidosauria; Squamata; Phrynosomatidae
Description: tRNA-OTHER
Source: RNAcentral
GCCAGUGUGGUGUAGUGGUUUGAGCAUUGGACUACAACUCUGGGGACCAGGGUUCGAUUUCCCGCUUGUCC